GGUCCCAUAGCUUAACUGAAUAGAGCAUCGCACUACGGAUGCGAAGGUUACAGGUUUGAAUCCUGUUGGGAUCA
Molecule: transfer RNA, 74 nt
Filed under: Candidatus Aphodosoma intestinipullorum
Lineage: Bacteria; Pseudomonadati; Bacteroidota; Bacteroidia; Bacteroidales
Description: tRNA-Arg
Rfam family: tRNA
About the family: Transfer RNA (tRNA) molecules are approximately 80 nucleotides in length. Their secondary structure includes four short double-helical elements and three loops (D, anti-codon, and T loops).
Source: RNAcentral